Molecule: unclassified non-coding RNA, 269 nt
Filed under: Glomus sp.
Lineage: Eukaryota; Fungi; Glomeromycota; Glomeromycetes; Glomerales; Glomeraceae
Description: partial contains 5.8S ribosomal RNA and internal transcribed spacer 2
Source: RNAcentral
GUGAAUCAUCAAAUUUUUGAACGCAAAUUGCACUCUCCUCGGAGAGGAUGCCUGUUUGAGGGUGAGCGUAAAAAAAUAGACAUAGUUGCUGUUGCGCGGUGGCGUUCGGUGGAAAGUGGGUCAUCUUAAAUCCUUUUGAUUUAUGCGACUGAAAAUUUUCUUUUGGUUCCAUGAACGUUUCUAAGAUCAAUUUCUUUACACGUUUAAGGUAUCGAUUUUUACUAGACGUGACCAUCAUAUAGUAUCGCGUCCAUAAUCUUUCUUUAAAC